CCAGUUUACUAUUUUUAAUUAAAAAUAACCUAUGUCAUUAGCAGUAAGUAACAGACGUUAAGGUCUGUUAGUUGUCGUUGCUAGUUAAAAUAGAAAUAAAAAGAAAACAAUUAAAUUCCUUAAAACAAUUAAACAAUUAAAGUCCUUCUAGUUCCCAAACAGUGAUAGUAUCAAACUCCUCUUAUUAAACUCCUCAAGUACUCUGUUUCAUGAACACUCAAAUGAAAAUCAAAUCCCUUAAAAAGUAGUGCCCAAAAUUUGCGAUAGAAAUCAAAUUGACGAGCUGCGUGGUUGAAUUUCGUGGAGGUUGUGGGUUGCAAACGAAAGCUGGGUUGCGAUUUGGUUGAGAGAAGGAGUCAUAGUGUGGCUGCGUUGCUGAAUUUCACCAAAAACGGGAAUUUAAGCUUGGAAGAAAGGUAAUUUCGAAUAAAUUUGUGAGAUUUAUAGCAACUCUGUUGAAUUUCGUGGAGUUGUGGGUUGCGAUCUUCAUCUGGGUUGCAAUUUCGUUGCGAGCUGGAGUGGAGUGGCUACGUUGCUGAAUUUCACCAAAAAACGGGAAUUUCGGCUUGGGAAGACAGGUAAUUUCGAUAUUUGUGAGAUUUAGAGCAACUCUUUGUUAUGCUACAUACAUUUAAGCGAAAUGUUGGUUGUUAAUGUCGUAAUUGAUUCUAGGGUUUUGUUUUUUUAUAUAUAGUUGGUAAAUGUUGAUUUAGUUAAAUAUUGUUUGGUUCAAUUGUGUAUUUGGAUAUGUUGGUUAAUGAUUAUACAUUGGUUUUGUGCCCAAUGUUUUUGAUCUGCAGAAUGGGUGAAAGGGUGUUGAAAAUGCAUUUUAUGGGUAACUCUGUCGAUGUUAUGGUUGCUGAUAUAGAUGAAUGUUUGAUGAUAGAUGUAGUAAAUGAUAUGGUUGACAAAUUUAGUUCUUUUGGGUAUGAACUCCCUACUUUUCCUGUGUUAAGUUAUUGUUCCAAUGGGAAGAGUCAUGCACUUACUGAUGAUAAAACACUAAUGACCAUGUUUGAGGUAGUUGAAUCUAGGAGGAUAGAUAUAUGGAUUGGUUGUUUGAAGCAACCUAAUUUUAUUUGGACCUUAGCUGAAAAGGUAAGGUUGAAAGGAUCAAAUGUAAGUGGUUCAGCAUCACUACCUAAACCACCAAUAACUAAACUACCAGUUAGGGGUGGUAAGAGGGGUAAGCCGGAAGAAAAAAAUUCUGGUAAUCUAUCUCCAACCCCAUCAUCUCAUGGACCAUCUAAAAUUCAAUCUCCUGAACAAAGUCAAACCAUUACUUUGUCAAGCCCAAGAAGAAGCCCCAGGCUUAUGGCUUCUAGCCCCUCAACCACACAAGAAUCAUUAAUCAACCCUCCAACUUCAGGUGUCACCCAAACAGGUCCUAGUGUUGGCCAUACUGCCCCUACUAAACCAAACAAUAUUCUUAAGCCUUCUUCAUUCCCUCAUGGUAAAAAAAUCUCAAAAUCUACCCUUAAAUACAAGGGGUUAUGGGUUCCACCUCAACCAAACACUGAAGCCAAUGAAGUUCAGAAGGAGCAACCAUUUGUUAGGACUAGAAAGAGGACUAGGGUUAGGCUAGAUGAUGAUGUUGGGGUGUCAAAUGUGAGUGGGGCUUUAUUUGAUAGUAGUGGUACAGAUAGUGAAGGGGAUUACCAACCUGACCAAGGUUUUGAUGUAGACACUGAAUCUGAUGAUGAUGAAAUGGAGUAUGAAGAGGGUGAUAUUAAUGAACUCUUGAAUCAAAAUUAUGUAGAUGGUGGAUGGGAACCAUUUAGGACAAAUGAAUGAGCUGUUGAUGAUGAUUCCUACAUGAGUAGGUUGUACAGGAAUGGGGAGGUGUUUGAGGAGGCAGAGUUUGGUAAAAUAAGGUUGAAACAGUGGCAGCUUUUUGUAGACAAAGAUCAUUUCAAGGAUGCUUUAAGAGAUUUUUGUAUCCAAGAGGGAUUUGCUCUGGUUGUGAACAAGGCAGACAAUAGAAGAUAUACUGCAGAGUGUGCUGAUGAGAGAUGCAACUGGAGGGUUCAUGCAGCUUUGCUACGUGAUGGACAAACAUGGGCCAUCAAAAAGUUGAGAAAAGGCCAUACUUGUGACCUAAACUUAGUAAACAACCCCAUGUGUAACUGUGAAUGGGCUGCUAAUAAGCUUCUUGAGGACAUAAGAGGUAACACAGACAUUAAGGGAAAGGCCUUAAAUGCUCUACUCUGGGAAAGAUAUGGUUUGAAAAUGUGCAGAUCUACCAUUUAUAGAAUGAAGGGAAUAGCAAUGAAGAUCAUACAAGGGGGGCAUGAUGAAUCUUACACUUCUUUGCCUCAGUAUUGUGAACUAUUGAAGGGGAGCAACCCUGGGUCAAUGGCCUUUUGCUGUUGGACUAAUGUUCCGGGUCCUGAAAGAUCACUACAAUUUUCAUCAAUUUUUAUCAGUUUUGCUGCACAGUUCAAGGGGUUGAUAAGCGGAUGUAGAGGGUUAGUUGGAGUAGACGGAUGUCACUUGAAGGGAAACUACGGGGGUAUCUUAUUGUCUGUUGUUUCCUUAGACGGUAACAACGAGAUUUUUCCAGUUGCUGUAGCAGUUGUUGAUUAUGAAAAUAAGACAAGUUGGAGUUGGUUCUUUCACCAUCUAAAGAAAAUACUCACUGCUACAGGGAGAGGAGACUGGACUAUAAUGUCUGAUCGACAAAAGGGUGUAGACCCAUCUUUGGACUCAGUUUAGCCAAAGGUGCCUAGAAGGUUUUGUGCUAGGCACUUAUGUAAAAACUUCAAGAAAGACUACCCCGGAUUACUCAUGCAUAAACUAUUUUGGAGUGUUACAAAUGCGUACUCAGACUACUCAUUUAGGAAGGCAAUGGUUCAACUUCAAAAACAUGGUGGUUUAGGGGCAGUGAAAUGGUUUAAAGAUGUAGGCCCACUAGAGCGAUGGACAAGGUGGAGGUUUGACCCCACUUUGAAAAGUGAUGAAAACACAAAUAAUUUUGUGGAAAGCUUCAAUAGUACUAUUGGGGUGGACAGAACUUAUCCAAUUCUAACUCUACUA
Molecule: RNA transcript, 3036 nt
Organism: Chenopodium quinoa (quinoa)
Lineage: Eukaryota; Viridiplantae; Streptophyta; Magnoliopsida; Caryophyllales; Amaranthaceae
Exons: 2
Source: RefSeq, a predicted model, not a curated record